Small nuclear RNA from Choloepus didactylus (southern two-toed sloth), 107 nucleotides. NCBI's taxonomy places the organism in Eukaryota, Metazoa, Chordata, Mammalia, Pilosa, Megalonychidae. The record is from RefSeq and is a predicted model, not a curated record.
GAGCUAGCUUCGGCAGCACAUAUACUAAAAUUGGAAUGAUACAGAGAGGAUUAGCACGGCCCCUGCACAAGGAUAACACACAAAUUCGGGAAGUGUUCUUUUUUUUU